GACGAACGCUGGCGGCGUGCCUAAUACAUGCAAGUUGAGCGAUGAAGAUUGGUGCUUGCACCAAUUUGAAGAGCAGCGAACGGGUGAGUAACGCGUGGGGAAUCUGCCUUUGAGCGGGGGACAACAUUUGGAAACGAAUGCUAAUACCGCAUAACAACUUUAAACAUAAGUUUUAAGUUUGAAAGAUGCAAUUGCAUCACUCAAAGAUGAUCCCGCGUUGUAUUAGCUAGUUGGUGAGGUAAAGGCUCACCAAGGCGAUGAUACAUAGCCGACCUGAGAGGGUGAUCGCCCCAAUUGAGCGUGGAAAACGCCCAAAACCCCUCCGGGGGGCAGACGUAGGGAACUUUCGGAAAUGGAGGAAAGUCUGCCCGAGCAACCCCGGGGGGGGGAAGAAGUUUUUCGGAUCGAAAAACUCUUUUGGUAAGAAAAAACUUGGGGGGAAGGGAAAACCCCAAAAAGUAACGGAAACUCCCAAAAAAGGGACGGCAAACUCCGU
RNAcentral lists this ribosomal RNA (496 nucleotides) under uncultured bacterium. RNAcentral's name for it is "partial 16S ribosomal RNA". It matches the Rfam family "Bacterial small subunit ribosomal RNA", at positions 28 to 506 of the family's 1533-position model. The record is from RNAcentral.